GUAGCCUAGUCGUUAGAGCGUUCGCUUCGGGUGCUGAUGAUCGUGGGUUCGAUCCCCGGCCAAGUCA
Potamilus streckersoni is the source of this 67-nucleotide non-coding RNA. NCBI's taxonomy places the organism in Eukaryota, Metazoa, Mollusca, Bivalvia, Unionida, Unionidae. The record is from the annotation of a GenBank genome assembly.